Molecule: long non-coding RNA, 749 nt
Organism: Mustela lutreola (European mink)
Lineage: Eukaryota; Metazoa; Chordata; Mammalia; Carnivora; Mustelidae
Exons: 3
Source: RefSeq, a predicted model, not a curated record
CAGAGUCCAUCACCCAGGAAGGCUGGGAGGUCCGGUGGCAGGAACUCACCUUUCAAGAUGCUGAAGUUGCUGCAGCUGGUCCUGCCACAUCUGGGAAUUUAUCCACCCAUUUGGCUGGGGCAGCCCCCGCCGCAGAUCAGAAGAAGAAACUCAACGGGCAGUUGGAGUCUGAAAGCUGGGAGGAAGCGCAGUUGGCAGUCUUCUUCCAGAGAUUCCAGGGCUGAGGAGUAGGAAUCUGAGUACAGAACUAUCCCUCAUAAGAUUUCCAGGAGUGAAAGGAGUGAAAGGAGCUCACUGACAUCAGGUCAUGAAUAGCCCAUGUGAGUUCAUAUGGCAUGAGAUCCCACCUCCAGAACUGUUGGGAAACAGGGAGCAGAAUGGGCCCUGAGAGCUCUGUCUAACUCAAUGUGGUGACCACAGGGGGCCUCGGGGUAUGGGACAGAAUGCCACUGAGGACAAGAAUCACAACCCUCCUAUUCAGGUGUCACUUGACAUUUAUAUUUUCACCAAGCCCAAGUGGUAAGGUUGUCAGAUAAAAUACAGAGAUGCCCAGUUACGUUUGAAUUUCAGAAGUCAGUGAAUAAUUUUUAGUUUAAGUGUAUGUUCCCAGGGGCGCCUGGGUGGGUCAGUGGGUUUAAAGCCUCUGCCUUCAGCUCGGGUCAUGGUUUCGGGGUCCUGGGAUCAAGCCCCACAUGGGGCUCUCCACUCAGCAGGGAGCCUGCUUCCCCCACCUCUUUGCCUGCCUCUCU